RNAcentral lists this ribosomal RNA (594 nucleotides) under Pleosporales sp. RNAcentral's name for it is "eukaryotic LSU rRNA". The stretch from base 218 to 371 matches the Rfam family "5.8S ribosomal RNA". The record is from RNAcentral. Lineage: Eukaryota; Fungi; Ascomycota; Dothideomycetes; Pleosporales.
AACCUGCGGAAGGAUCAUUACUUUUGUGGAGCUUGCUCCUCUCAGGGAGAGCGAAAGGAUGCCGGUUGCUCUAUGCGCCCGGUUAUGCGAGUAAGCUCUCUGUCUGAACCCUUGUCUUUUUGCGUACUUAUGUUUCCUCGGCAGGCUUGCCUGCCGUUUGGACAAACCUAAAACCUUUUUAAUUCUCAAUCAGCGUCUGAAUAAUUAUAAUAAUUACAACUUUCAACAACGGAUCUCCUGGUUCUGGCAUCGAUGAAGAACGCAGCGAAAUGCGAUAAGUAGUGUGAAUUGCAGAAUUCAGUGAAUCAUCGAAUCUUUGAACGCACAUUGCGCCCCUUGGUAUUCCAUGGGGCAUGCCUGUUCGAGCGUCAUUUGUACUCUCAAGCUUUGCUUGGUGUUGGGUGUUUUGUCCCUUCUUUUAUGUCUGGACUCGCCUUAAAGUCAUUGGCAGCCGAUAUAUUGGUUUUGAAGCGCAGCACAAUAUGCGCCUCUUACUCAAAAUACCGGCAUCCAUUAAGCAAUUUAACACGCUUGACCUCGGAUCAGGUAGGGAUACCCGCUGAACUUAAGCAUAUCAAUAAGCGGAGGAAAAGA